ACGAACGCUGGCGGCAGGCUUAACACAUGCAAGUCGCACGGGUGUAGCAAUACAUCAGUGGCAGACGGGUGAGUAACACGUGGGAACCUUCCUAGGGGUACGGAACAUCUCAGGGAAACUUGAGCUAACACCGUAUACGUCCGUAAGGAGAAAGAUUUAUCGCCCUUCGACGGGCCCGCGUCGGAUUAGCUAGUUGGUGGGGUAACGGCCUACCAAGGCGACGAUCCGUAGCUGAUCUGAGAGGAUGAUCAGCCACACUGGGACUGAGACACGGCCCAGACUCCUACGGGAGGCAGCAGUGGGGAAUCUUGGACAAUGGGCGCAAGCCUGAUCCAGCCAUGCCGCGUGAGUGAAGAAGGCCUUAGGGUUGUAAAGCUCUUUUGCCAGGGACGAUAAUGACGGUACCUGUAGAAGAAGCCCCGGCAAACUUCGU
Molecule: ribosomal RNA, 433 nt
Filed under: uncultured bacterium
Lineage: Bacteria
Description: bacterial SSU rRNA
Rfam family: Bacterial small subunit ribosomal RNA
Source: RNAcentral